AAGUUUAUGUCUUUUGUUGCUUUAGAUCGGAAGGGUCUAUAAUGGGAGGGUCCAAAGGCUUGCGAAGUUCCAGUUUCCAGCAAAGAUCUCUAUAAAUAUUGCAGAGAGGGCCAGACCAGUUUCAGCCAAGGUCUAUUACUGUUGGUGGCAUUUUAGUUUCCAGCAAAGAUCUUACAGAUACUUUGAAGAGGACUAGGCCGAAAUUUAUAUCAAUAACAAGUUUUAGUUUAGCCAUUUUUAUCUAAAGAUAUUCGUCUCAGGUGCUAUCGGUUGUAAAGCAUAAAUUUGCAAUUAAUUAACUAUGCUUUCAGUGUUAUAUCCGGCUAAAAAUCUUUUUAAUCAUAUGUGUUGAGUUUUGGUAAAGAGUUAAUUUUGUGUUUAGCCGUACACAAAUUUUAUCAUGUGUUGUGGUUGGUUAUAGAGUUAAUUUUAUGUUUAA
Brassica rapa (field mustard) is the source of this 439-nucleotide long non-coding RNA. RefSeq lists it as uncharacterized. The record is from RefSeq and is a predicted model, not a curated record. NCBI's taxonomy places the organism in Eukaryota, Viridiplantae, Streptophyta, Magnoliopsida, Brassicales, Brassicaceae.